This 2573-nucleotide ribosomal RNA is filed under the name Strongyloides cebus. RNAcentral describes it as "eukaryotic LSU rRNA". It matches the Rfam family "Eukaryotic large subunit ribosomal RNA", at positions 646 to 3138 of the family's 3401-position model. Lineage: Eukaryota; Metazoa; Nematoda; Chromadorea; Rhabditida; Strongyloididae. The record is from RNAcentral.
GUCCCGUCUUGAAACACGGACCAAGGAGUGUAUUGCUAUGGCAAGUCAUUGAUAUUGUUAAUAUCAAAGGCGUAAUGAAAAUAAAUAAUAUCUCAGAUCUUGUUAUUAUUUAUAAUAAGCGCAUGAGAGACGUAAAUAUAUGAUUUAUUCAUUUUUUGCAGUUAUAGCCAUAGUAGUGCGACCCGAAAGAUGGUGAACUAUACUAGUGCAGGGUGAAGUCAGAAGAAAUUCUGAUGGAAGCUCGAAGCGGUCCUGACGUGCAAAUCGGUCGUCUGACAUUAGUAUAGGGGCGAAAGACUAAUCGAACCAUCUAGUAGCUGGUUCCGGCCGAAGUUUCCCCCAGGAUAGCUGAAACUAUUAUACAGAUACAUCCGGUAAAGCUAAUGUUUAGAGGAAUAGGGGAUAAUAUAUCCUUUAUCUAUUUACAAACUAUAAAUGGGUGUGAUAUUAUGAUUACUUAAUUGAAUCAUAAUUUCGAUUGUAUAGUUUCAAGUGGGCCAUUUUUGGUAAGCAGAACUGGCGACGUGGGAUGAACCAAAAGUAUUGUUAAAGUGCCUAAAUUUUUGCUCAUCAGACCCCAUAAAAAGUGUUGUUUGAUCCUGACAGCAGGGCGGUGGCCAUGGAAGUCGGAAUCCGCUAAGGAUCGUGUAACAACUCACCUGCCGAAUCAAGCAGCCUUGAAAAUGGAUGGCGCUUGAGCAAAAUACUUAGACAAUACCAUAUAUUUUAAUGUAAUAAUAUAAAUAUAUGUGUAGGCUGGCGUAAUAAUAGCAUUGAAGGUUAUAAGAGUAAUCUUGACUGGAGCUGUUAUUAGUGCAGAUCUUGGUGAUAGUAGCAAAUACACAAGUGAGAAUCUUGUGGACCGAAGUGGAAAAGGGUUUCACGUCAACAUCAUUUGACUGUGAGUUAGUCGAUCCUAAGCUAAAAUUGAAAAAUUUAUAUAUAUUAUAUUUUAUAAAGCGAAAGGGAAAUAGAUUAAUAUUUCUAUACUAUUUAUGGAGAUAAUAUAGGAUAAUAAACUAUAUUAUGCGUGGUAACACAAAUGAAAUUAACUACAAUAUAACAAGUUUUGGAUAGAGAUAUCUUCUCUAUUUAAGUUAUUAAAUCUAUGAAAAUUGCUCAGCAAGAGAUAUAGAUGAAAUUAUUAACGUAGAGUACUAACAUUUUGUUGGUAUCCAAAGUGCUUGUUAUAUUACUUAAAAAGUUAAUGGAAGCAUAAUAAAUUUCAUAAAAUAAUCGUACCCAUAUCCGCAACAGGUUUCCAAGAUGUUUAGUCUCUGGUCGAUGAAAUAAUGUAGGUAAGGGAAGUCGGCAAAAUAGAUUCGUAACUUUGGGAAAAGAAUUGGCUCUUGAGAUGUAGAUAUUCGGAUAUUAUGUAUCUAAUGGUUAUUUUAAUAAAUAUAAAAUGAAUACUAGUAAUAGUUAUUUGAUUUAUAUUUAUUAAUAAUUAUUAACAUAAUAUUUACAUAUAUUUGUAAUAUUAAUAUAUUAACGAAUAUCAAUAUAUAUACAUUAAUCAAGAACUGGCACGGACAAGAGGAAUCCGACUGUCUAAUUAAAACAGAGGAGACAGAUGAUGCUAGAUGCAUGUAGACUGUGUCUGAUUUCUGCCCAGUGCAAUGAAUGUUAUCAUUGGGAAACCAAUUGAAGCUCUUGUAAACGGCGGGAGUAACUAUGACUCUCUUAAGGUAGCCAAAUGCCUCGUCGGGUAAUUUCCGACGCGCACGAAUGGAUUAACGAGAUUCCUACUGUCCCUAUCUACCAUUCAGCGAAAUCACAGCCAAGGGAACGGGCUUGGCAAAAACAGCGGGGAAAGAAGACCCUGUUGAGCUUGACUCUAGCUAGGCAUUGUGAAGUGUCAUAUGAGGUGUAGAAUAGGUGGGAGUUAUAUUAUUAUUAUAACCUUGUUGUACCACUACUUAUAUUGAUAUUUUACUUAGUUGAUUAUAUGGAAAUUUUAUAUUUUAAUUAAUAUAAUAAUUGUUGUAUUAAAUUAAUAUCUUUGAGAUAUUUAAUAAUCCACGUCAAUGACCAUGUCUGGCGGGGAGUUUGACUGGGGCGGUACAUCUAUCAAACUGUAACGUAGGUGUCCUAAGGCAAACUCAAAGAGGACAGAAACCUCUUGUAGAGUAAAAGGGCAAAAGUUUGCUUGAUCAUGAUUUUCAGUACGAAUACAGACCCUGAAAGGGUGGCCUAUCGAUCCUUUUGUAUUAGUAUGUUUCUAAAAAGAGGUGCCAGAAAAGUUACCACAGGGAUAACUGGCUUGUGGCAGCCAAGAGUCCAUAUCGACGUUGCUUUUUGAUCCUUCGAUGUCGGCUCUUCCUAUCAUUGCGAAGCAGAUUUCGCCAAGCGUUGGAUUGUUCACCCACUAAUAGGGAACGUGAGCUGGGUUUAGACCGUCGUGAGACAGGUUAGUUUUAUCCUACUGUUGAUUUAUUAAAGUUGUUGAAAUAGUAAUCCAGCUUAGUACGAGAGGAACCGUUAGAUCAGCUAAUUGGUAUAUAAUGUUAUUGGAAACAAUAAUGCAUUGAAUCUACCAGCUGCAGAAUUAUGACUGAACGCCUCUAAGUCAG